UACAGAGGGGGCAAGCGUUAUUCGGAAUUAUUGGGCGUAAAGGGCGCGUAGGCGGCUUUGCAAGUGGCGGGUGAAAUCCCUCGGCUUAACCGAGGAACUGCCUGUCAAACUGCAUGGCUUGAGACCGGGAGAGGUGAGUGGAAUUCCCAGUGUAGCGGUGAAAUUCGUAGAUAUUGGGAGGAACACCAGUGGCGAAGGCGGCUCACUGGACCGGUACUGACGCUGAUGCGCGAAAGCGUGGGGAGCAAACAGG
Molecule: ribosomal RNA, 253 nt
Filed under: uncultured bacterium
Lineage: Bacteria
Description: partial 16S ribosomal RNA
Rfam family: Bacterial small subunit ribosomal RNA
Source: RNAcentral